RNAcentral lists this transfer RNA (81 nucleotides) under Hyaloperonospora arabidopsidis Emoy2. RNAcentral describes it as "Hyaloperonospora arabidopsidis tRNA-Thr for anticodon CGU". It matches the Rfam family "tRNA". From Rfam's summary of the family: Transfer RNA (tRNA) molecules are approximately 80 nucleotides in length. Their secondary structure includes four short double-helical elements and three loops (D, anti-codon, and T loops). Lineage: Eukaryota; Oomycota; Peronosporomycetes; Peronosporales; Peronosporaceae. The record is from Rfam by way of RNAcentral.
GACAGCUUGGACCAGCGGUUAAGGCGACAGACUCGUGAUCUAUUCGGGUAACCCGUGUGAGUUCAAGUCUCACAGCUGACG